GAUGAACGCUGGCGGCGUGCCUAAUACAUGCAAGUCGAGCGAACGGACGAGAAGCUUGCUUCUCUGAUGUUAGCGGCGGACGGGUGAGUAACACGUGGAUAACCUACCUAUAAGACUGGGAUAACUUCGGGAAACCGGAGCUAAUACCGGAUAAUAUUUUGAACCGCAUGGUUCAAAAGUGAAAGACGGUCUUGCUGUCACUUAUAGAUGGAUCCGCGCUGCAUUAGCUAGUUGGUAAGGUAACGGCUUACCAAGGCAACGAUGCAUAGCCGACCUGAGAGGGUGAUCGGCCACACUGGAACUGAGACACGGUCCAGACUCCUACGGGAGGCAGCAGUAGGGAAUCUUCCGCAAUGGGCGAAAGCCUGACGGAGCAACGCCGCGUGAGUGAUGAAGGUCUUCGGAUCAUAAAACUCUGUUAUUAGGGAAGAACAUAUGUGUAAGUAACUGUGCACAUCUUGACGGUACCUAAUCAGAAAGCCACGGCUAACUACGUGCCAGCAGCCGCGGUAAUACGUAGGUGGCAAGCGUUAUCCGGAAUUAUUGGGCGUAAAGCGCGCGUAGGCGGUUUUUUAAGUCUGAUGUGAAAGCCCACGGCUCAACCGUGGAGGGUCAUUGGAAACUGGAAAACUUGAGUGCAGAAGAGGAAAGUGGAAUUCCAUGUGUAGCGGUGAAAUGCGCAGAGAUAUGGAGGAACACCAGUGGCGAAGGCGACUUUCUGGUCUGUAACUGACGCUGAUGUGCGAAAGCGUGGGGAUCAAACAGGAUUAGAUACCCUGGUAGUCCACGCCGUAAACGAUGAGUGCUAAGUGUUAGGGGGUUUCCGCCCCUUAGUGCUGCAGCUAACGCAUUAAGCACUCCGCCUGGGGAGUACGACCGCAAGGUUGAAACUCAAAGGAAUUGACGGGGACCCGCACAAGCGGCGGAGCAUGUGGUUUAAUUCGAAGCAACGCGAAGAACCUUACCAAAUCUUGACAUCCUUUGACAACUCUAGAGAUAGAGCCUUCCCCUUCGGGGGACAAAGUGACAGGUGGUGCAUGGUUGUCGUCAGCUCGUGUCGUGAGAUGUUGGGUUAAGUCCCGCAACGAGCGCAACCCUUAAGCUUAGUUGCCAUCAUUAAGUUGGGCACUCUAAGUUGACUGCCGGUGACAAACCGGAGGAAGGUGGGGAUGACGUCAAAUCAUCAUGCCCCUUAUGAUUUGGGCUACACACGUGCUACAAUGGACAAUACAAAGGGCAGCGAAACCGCGAGGUCAAGCAAAUCCCAUAAAGUUGUUCUCAGUUCGGAUUGUAGUCUGCAACUCGACUACAUGAAGCUGGAAUCGCUAGUAAUCGUAGAUCAGCAUGCUACGGUGAAUACGUUCCCGGGUCU
RNAcentral lists this ribosomal RNA (1372 nucleotides) under uncultured bacterium. Its description in RNAcentral is "bacterial SSU rRNA". It matches the Rfam family "Bacterial small subunit ribosomal RNA", at positions 28 to 1381 of the family's 1533-position model. The record is from RNAcentral.